This 24-nucleotide non-coding RNA is filed under the name Arabidopsis thaliana (thale cress). Lineage: Eukaryota; Viridiplantae; Streptophyta; Magnoliopsida; Brassicales; Brassicaceae. The record is from RNAcentral.
UUGCUCCUCAUCACUGAGAACCGC